UUGGGACUGCCUCCCUCCCCUGUGAAACCAGAGUAGCCUCAUCACCAGGUUGCAGCCCUUCAAAACCCAUCCUCUCUGCUCCCAGGACAAACCCUACGUCAGCACUGCAGCAACGGCCAGAGCCCCAGGAACGGAGCAGUCCUGGCCCCACAGGGGUGGAAUUCGCUCCCAAAGCCCUGACUAACUGUAAAAGCUGCCAUCAGGAGCAAUGUUGAUAUAUUUGGAAAGCCUGAAACUCUGAGCUGUAUCACAUGGAGGACAGCCAUUCCAGCAGGUUUCCCAGACCCACAGUGGAUUUAACAGAACUCCAAGGGCCAAGGAGGGUACUGAUUUUUUACAUCAAUAACCAAGAAAAUAAAGUCAGAGGCUUGU
RNAcentral lists this long non-coding RNA (372 nucleotides) under Mustela putorius furo (domestic ferret). Its description in RNAcentral is "lncRNA (ENSMPUG00000028017.1)". Lineage: Eukaryota; Metazoa; Chordata; Mammalia; Carnivora; Mustelidae. The record is from RNAcentral.